CCUGGCCUUGACAUACUAAGAACUUCCAGAGAUGGAUUGGUGCCUUCGGGAACUUAGAUACAGGUGCUGCAUGGCUGUCGUCAGCUCGUGUCGUGAGAUGUUGGGUUAAGUCCGCAACGAGCGCAACCCUUUUCCUUAUUUGCCAGCGGGUAAUGCCGGGAACUUUAAGGAUACUGCCAGUGACAAACUGGAGGAAGGCGGGGACGACGUCAAGUCAUCAUGGCCCUUACGGCCAGGGCUACACACGUGCUACAAUGGUCGGUACAAGGGUUGCUACCUCGCGAGAGGAUGCUAAUCUCAAAAAGCCGAUCGUAGUCCGGAUCGCAGUCUGCAACUCGACUGCGUGAAGUCGGAAUCGCUAGUAAUCGCGGAUCAGAAUGCCGCGGUGAAUACGUUCCCGGGCCUUGUACACGCCGCCCGUCACACCAUGGGAGUUUGUUGCACCAGAAGUAGGUAGUCUAACCGCAAGGAGGACGCUUACCACGGUGUGGCCGAUGACUGGGGUGAAGUCGUAACAAGGUAAGCGUAGAUGA
RNAcentral lists this ribosomal RNA (533 nucleotides) under uncultured bacterium. Its description in RNAcentral is "bacterial SSU rRNA". It matches the Rfam family "Bacterial small subunit ribosomal RNA", at positions 974 to 1509 of the family's 1533-position model. The record is from RNAcentral.